RNAcentral lists this long non-coding RNA (749 nucleotides) under Phoenix dactylifera (date palm). Its description in RNAcentral is "long non-coding RNA (PDAC_LNC018655)". The record is from RNAcentral. Lineage: Eukaryota; Viridiplantae; Streptophyta; Magnoliopsida; Arecales; Arecaceae.
AAUUUUCAAUUUUAGUGGUUCUUGUGUACAUAUUUACUUCUUUUUUGCCCCUUAAUUACCUCUAUCUUCAAGAGUAUAUGAUAUUCUUUUCUUCUUCUUUUUUUUUCCAAUGAUAUGAAACAUGAAACCCGCACUGAAAGUGCUUCGCUAUAUUUGUCUGUUGCAAAAAAAAUUGAAUUAUGAAAGUCAUUGUAUAGCUGGUGGUGAAUAACCGCUGUGUUCUCAAAAAAGUAAAGACAUUUUAGAGCUCCAAAGGACAUGGUGCUAAAGCUGACAGAUUAGUUUGAGCAUAAAUACCUGAGUCAUAUGAUAUCGGUAUCCUCUCAUCAAUCCUCCAGAAUGAAUCAAUGAUAAAAUACAUUCGUCAGCUGAUACCUGGAAGUUCCAGAUGAGCCGCUUGCUGCCAGCCAGCUACCAUUUAUGGUGAGACAGGAGAUGUCUCCAUAAUGAAUUUUAACGGGCCAAAUAGGAGCAGGGGUGAUUAUAAGUAGGCUAAACAACUAAACAGCCAUUCUUUUCUUCUAUUUAUCUCAGAUCCAUUCAACUCAGAGAAAGCCUUAAGAGUCCACUUCAGGCAUCCAGGCAUCAUUCGAGACUAGCUGGUUAGUCAAAUGGACUUUUCUGAUCAUAUUUGGCCACUAAUAUGCUGUGUCAGUACAACAUCGCGAGAAUGAAAUCCAAGUACUUUGAUACACUCCUGCUUGGGUUUCAUUCUCGCAUGGAAUGAUAAUUGGAGUGUAAUUCAACUU